UUUUUAGNUUUUUUNNNNCCCCCGNAGGACGNACGCUGGCGGCGUGCCUAAUACAUGCAAGUCGAACGCUUCUUUUCCCACCGGAGCUUGCUCCACCGGGAAAAGAGGAGUGGCGAACGGGUGAGUAACACGUGGGUAACCUGCCCAUCAGAAGGGGAUAACACUUGGAAACAGGUGCUAAUACCGUAUAACAAUCGAAACCGCAUGGUUUCGUUUUGAAAGGCGCUUUACGGUGCCGCUGAUGGAUGGACCCGCGGUGCAUUAGCUAGUUGGUGAGGUAACGGCUCACCAAGGCCACGAUGCAUAGCCGACCUGAGAGGGUGAUCGGCCACAUUGGGACUGAGACACGGCCCAAACUCCUACGGGAGGCAGCAGUAGGGAAUCUUCGGCAAUGGACGAAAGUCUGACCGAGCAACGCCGCGUGAGUGAAGAAGGUUUUCGGAUCGUAAAACUCUGUUGUUAGAGAAGAACAAGGGUGAGAGUAACUGUUCACCCCUUGACGGUAUCUAACCAGAAAGCCACGGCUAACUACGUGCCAGCAGCCGCGGUAAUACGUAGGUGGCAAGCGUUGUCCGGAUUUAUUGGGCGUAAAGCGAGCGCAGGCGGUUUCUUAAGUCUGAUGUGAAAGCCCCCGGCUCAACCGGGGAGGGUCAUUGGAAACUGGGAGACUUGAGUGCAGAAGAGGAGA
Molecule: ribosomal RNA, 688 nt
Filed under: Enterococcus mundtii
Lineage: Bacteria; Bacillati; Bacillota; Bacilli; Lactobacillales; Enterococcaceae
Description: bacterial SSU rRNA
Rfam family: Bacterial small subunit ribosomal RNA
Source: RNAcentral